RNAcentral lists this ribosomal RNA (1371 nucleotides) under uncultured bacterium. Its description in RNAcentral is "bacterial SSU rRNA". It matches the Rfam family "Bacterial small subunit ribosomal RNA". The record is from RNAcentral.
AGAGUUUGAUCCUGGCUCAGAACGAACGCUGGCGGCGUGGAUAAGACAUGCAAGUCGAACGAGAGAAUUGCUAGCUUGCUAAUAAUUCUCUAGUGGCGCACGGGUGAGUAACACGUGAGUAACCUGCCCCCGAGAGCGGGAUAGCCCUGGGAAACUGGGAUUAAUACCGCAUAGUAUCGAAAGAUUAAAGCAGCAAUGCGCUUGGGGAUGGGCUCGCGGCCUAUUAGUUAGUUGGUGAGGUAACGGCUCACCAAGGCGAUGACGGGUAGCCGGUCUGAGAGGAUGUCCGGCCACACUGGAACUGAGACACGGUCCAGACACCUACGGGUGGCAGCAGUCGAGAAUCAUUCACAAUGGGGGAAACCCUGAUGGUGCGACGCCGCGUGGGGGAAUGAAGGUCUUCGGAUUGUAAACCCCUGUCAUGUGGGAGCAAAUUAAAAAGAUAGUACCACAAGAGGAAGAGACGGCUAACUCUGUGCCAGCAGCCGCGGUAAUACAGAGGUCUCAAGCGUUGUUCGGAAUCACUGGGCGUAAAGCGUGCGUAGGCUGUUUCGUAAGUCGUGUGUGAAAGGCGCGGGCUCAACCCGCGGACGGCACAUGAUACUGCGAGACUAGAGUAAUGGAGGGGGAACCGGAAUUCUCGGUGUAGCAGUGAAAUGCGUAGAUAUCGAGAGGAACACUCGUGGCGAAGGCGGGUUCCUGGACAUUAACUGACGCUGAGGCACGAAGGCCAGGGGAGCGAAAGGGAUUAGAUACCCCUGUAGUCCUGGCAGUAAACGGUGCACGCUUGGUGUGCGGGGAAUCGACCCCCUGCGUGCCGGAGCUAACGCGUUAAGCGUGCCGCCUGGGGAGUACGGUCGCAAGAUUAAAACUCAAAGAAAUUGACGGGGACCCGCACAAGCGGUGGAGUAUGUGGCUUAAUUCGAUGAUACGCGAGGAACCUUACCCGGGCUCAAACGUCGGGCGAAUCAUCCUGAAAGGGGUGAGCCAGCAAUGGCGGCCGACGAGGUGCUGCAUGGUUGUCGUCAGCUCGUGCCGUGAGGUGUCGGCUUAAGUGCCAUAACGAGCGCAACCCCCGCGUCCAGUUGCCAGCGAUUUAAGUCGGGCACUCUGGACGGACUGCCGGCGCAAGCCGCGAGGAAGGCGGGGAUGACGUCAAAUCAGCACGGCCCUUACGUCCGGGGCGACACACGUGUUACAAUGGCGUGGAACAGAGGGAAGCCACCUGGCGACAGGGAGCGGAACCCGAAAACACGUCUCAGUUCGGAUUGGAGUCUGCAACUCGACUCCAUGAAGCUGGAUUCGCUAGUAAUCGCGCAUCAGCCAUGGCGCGGUGAAUACGUUCCCGGGCCUUGCACUCACCGCCCGUCA